CCUACGGGAGGCAGCAGUGGGGAAUUUUGGACAAUGGGCGAAAGCCUGAUCCAGCCAUGCCGCGUGCAGGAUGAAGGCCUUCGGGUUGUAAACUGCUUCUGUACGGAACGAAAAGACUCUGGUUAAUACCUGGGGUCCAUGACGGUACCGUAAGAAUAAGCACCGGCUAACUACGUGCCAGCAGCCGCGGUAAUACGUAGGGUGCAAGCGUUAAUCGGAAUUACUGGGCGUAAAGCGUGCGCAGGCGGUUAUAUAAGACAGAUGUGAAAUCCCCGGGCUCAACCUGGGAACUGCAUUUGUGACUGUAUAGCUAGAGUACGGCAGAGGGGGAUGGAAUUCCGCGUGUAGCAGUGAAAUGCGUAGAUAUGCGGAGGAACACCGAUGGCGAAGGCAAUCCCCUGGGCCUGUACUGACGCUCAUGCACGAAAGCGUGGGGAGCAAACAGGAUUAGAUACCCUGGUAGUCCACGCCCUAAACGAUGUCAACUGGUUGUUGGGUCUUCACUGACUCAGUAACGAAGCUAACGCGUGAAGUUGACCGCCUGGGGAGUACGGCCGCAAGGUUGAAACUCAAAUGAAUUGACGG
This 585-nucleotide ribosomal RNA is filed under the name uncultured bacterium. RNAcentral describes it as "bacterial SSU rRNA". It matches the Rfam family "Bacterial small subunit ribosomal RNA", at positions 338 to 916 of the family's 1533-position model. The record is from RNAcentral.